GCUGAGAGGACGUACGAAAAUCGGGCUUCGCGAAUUUCAAGUGCCGGUUCCUCUAACUCUUGGGUACUGCGUACCAGGUUCUCUACCUGGUGAAUUUCGACUUCCAGGACUCGCGCUCCGACUUCCUGGGCUCCAGGUCGUCCACCCGGCAUUACCUGCAAAACUAUCCUGAUCAUCACCGUCACCAUCACCGUGCGAACUUCCGUGACCACCAAAGUGACUACUUAAGUGACUACUGAGAUGACCACCAAGUGAGCCAUGAUGACCACCCCACAACCCGUGACCACUAAAUAAGCCGUGAUUCCCAACCAGGAGGUCGGUAAAGGCAUUCAGACCAAGUGGAUCUUUAUGUUGUAACCUCUGUUCUUGACGGUGAGCAUGGAUCCGAUCCCGUUUCUCCUUGCGACGUUUUUGAAUAUCGGCAGAGGCAUCCGCUGGUCGUCGCUGGGACAGUGUGUUCCGGUUCUUUAUGAGGUUACUUAUGGCCUCCAAUGUUGCAACUGGUAUCUAGGUGCGGAAAAUAGGCUAUAUCUGAACGAUUGUGACUUGGGGUACGAAAAAAAGCCUGGUGAAGAAAACGGAGCAUUCCAGGUGUAUGCAUGCAGAAAACGUUGUUCUUCCGCAAGUUUUACGAGUACUACAUCCAGAGAAUCCUCUGACUGAGACGCGGCGUGUGCAAAUAAAACUGUUUUGUCAGAUCAAUCAACGCUACCUCGGUGAGCAUCUUCGAUGACAAACGUCCAGGAAGCGUCGAGGCGCUCAGCAACCUCGGAGUCGCCGGUGAAAGAGAAGAUCGACCGAGAAUAUCCGAGGUCAUACACCGACCUCAAGUUUGUUGAGAAUCGCGCUUUCUUUAGGAUUGGAAAGUGAAUGGCCUUAGCGAGGGCCCCGGGCAUCUUAUCCACGAUUCGCGAUCCUUCAUUUUCGUCGAUUUGCCACUCACUUGAGAAUUCCACCUCAUGUAACAUGUCUGCAACAUUUCCUGACGCAGAGCCAAGUGUUUUUUGUUCAUCUCUCUAAAUCCCCGCGGUCGCAUUGCGCCAAUAAAUAAUCUCCACCUGGUCGAUCGGUCUUAGAAAAUCAUGAUAACACGAUAUGCUCACUUUUCUUAUCUUGCAACCUGCUCUAACAGAACUACAUCGCAAUACGACAAGAUCGGCGAUAUCUCAAUGGUUACCCAUUCAUUUCACACUCAACUAACUUCGGUUUUUCAGUAUAAAAAUUAUUUCCAGGAGUAUUCGCAGUACGGGAGAAUCUUGUAACUUAAUUAUCCAGCCAGUCGAUCACAUCGUCAGUUCUAAAGAUCAGCUCGAUUGCAUUGACUUGAGAUUAUUAAAGGACUUUUAGGUCGGAGGGUACUGAGUGAGUGAUCAAUCAAUGAACGCAGGUUUAAGUAAGCUUCGCAAGUUUUAUUAACAUAACGCAUCCUUGAACCACCUUUUCAUCUAAUCACAUUCCCACCGUUCAUAUUCUCUUCCACAUUUUCACCCUAUCACAUCUUCGCUCUCCUGUUUUCCAAUUUCCGCAUUGAUCCACUCAAAAUGGAUUUAAAGAAGUCUGUCAGUCGUAGCAGUUGCAUAUUAUAGCAGGACAAUUAUCUGACAGGAAUCUAUGAUUUUUAUUUCACAACGAUUCAGCCAAUAUAAACGUAUAAGGUAAGACAUUAAUCGGCAUACAUUCGCAGCGUUUUAGCAAACCUUCCACUUCCUGGAUUGUUGAAGAUUAUUUGAGCCAAAACAUCUCACCAAAUUUAUUGUUACUACAUGCAGUUUCCU
RNAcentral lists this long non-coding RNA (1775 nucleotides) under Neodiprion lecontei (redheaded pine sawfly). RNAcentral's name for it is "uncharacterized LOC124294239, transcript variant X2". Lineage: Eukaryota; Metazoa; Arthropoda; Insecta; Hymenoptera; Diprionidae. The record is from RNAcentral.